AUUGAACGCUGGCGGCAUGCCUUACACAUGCAAGUCGAACGGCAGCGGGGACUUCGGUCCGCCGGCGAGUGGCGAACGGGUGAGUAAAGUAUCGGAACGUACCUUUCAGUGGGGGAUAACGUAGCGAAAGUUACGCUAAUACCGCAUAUUCUGUGAGCAGGAAAGCAGGGGAUCGCAAGACCUUGCGCUGAUUGAGCGGCCGAUAUCAGAUUAGCUAGUUGGUGAGGUAAAGGCUCACCAAGGCGACGAUCUGUAGCGGGUCUGAGAGGAUGAUCCGCCACACUGGAACUGAGACACGGUCCAGACUCCUACGGGAGGCAGCAGUGGGGAAUUUUGGACAAUGGGCGCAAGCCUGAUCCAGCCAUGCCGCGUGAGUGAAGAAGGCCUCGGUUG
This 393-nucleotide ribosomal RNA is filed under the name uncultured bacterium. RNAcentral describes it as "bacterial SSU rRNA". It matches the Rfam family "Bacterial small subunit ribosomal RNA", at positions 30 to 425 of the family's 1533-position model. The record is from RNAcentral.